This is a long non-coding RNA of Diorhabda sublineata, 502 nucleotides long. RefSeq lists it as uncharacterized. Lineage: Eukaryota; Metazoa; Arthropoda; Insecta; Coleoptera; Chrysomelidae. The transcript has 2 exons. The record is from RefSeq and is a predicted model, not a curated record.
AGUGUGAAGUUUUAAGGUGGUUGCUUAUACUGUACACAAAUGAAUUCAUUUAUAUUCCCUAAAUUCCACAGACCACAGUGUGGUCUGUGCUAAAUUCAAUAAAACUCAUAAUAAAAGAAGAAUAUAAAUAAAGGAAACAAGUGAUUUAUUGUAAGCAAGAUGGAGCACCUCCACACUAUAUGGUUCCUAAGACAGUUUUUAGAUGACCGGUUUCCUAGACGGUGGAUUGAAAGGAGGAGUCCAAUUGAAUGGCCUGCCACGUCACCGGAUUUAUCACCUUUAGACUUUUUUUUUGGGGACACUUAAAAAAUAAAUGUUUUGCUAUGAAGCCCGAGUCCAUAGAAGAUCUUCGCCAACACCAGAGUGCAGAAACAUAACACCUGAUAUGCUACAAAAUGUUAGAAAUAGAUUUCAACAAAAUCUAUAUUAUUGUGUGGAAUCAAAUGGGUCACAUUUUUUCAACAUUAGUUAAUGUAAUGUUUUAAUAAAUCAAUUUAAUGGC